CCAACAGGGAUUGCCUCAGUAACGGCGAGUGAAGCGGCAACAGCUCAAAUUUGAAAUCUGGCCCCAGGCCCGAGUUGUAAUUUGCAGAGGAUGCUUUUGGUGCGGUGCCUUCCAAGUUCCCUAGAACGGGACGCCAGAGAGGGUGAGAGCCCCGUACAGUUGGACACCAAGCCUUUGUAAAGCUCCUUCGACGAGUCGAGUAGUUUGGGAAUGCUGCUCAAAAUGGGAGGUAUAUUUCUUCUAAAGCUAAAUACCGGCCAGAGACCGAUAGCGCACAAGUAGAGUGAUCGAAAGAUGAAAAGCACUUUGAAAAGAGGGUUAAACAGCACGUGAAAUUGUUAAAAGGGAAGCGCUUGUGACCAGACUUGCGUCCGGUGAAUCACCCAGCUCUCGCGGCUGGGGCACUUCGCCGGCUCAGGCCAGCAUCAGCUCGCUGUCGGGGACAAAAGCUUCAGGAACGUAGCUCUCUUCGGGGAGUGUUAUAGCCUGUUGCACAAUACCCUUCGGCGGGCUGAGGUACGCGCUCCGCAAGGAUGCUGGCAUAAUGGUCAUCAGCGACCCGUCUUGAAACACGGACCAAGGAGUCAACCUUAUGUGCGAGUGUUCGGGUGUCAAACCCCUACGCGUAAUGAAAGUGAACGCAGGUGAGAGCUUCGGCGCAUCAUCGACCGAUCCUGAUGUUCUCGGAUGGAUUUGAGUAAGAGCAUAUAGGGUUGGACCCGAAAGAAGGUGAACUAUGCGUGUAUAGGGUGAAGCCAGAGGAAACUCUGGUGGAGGCUCGCAGCGGUUCUGACGUGCAAAUCGAUCGUCAAAUAUGCGCAUGGGGGCGAAAGACUAAUCG
This 841-nucleotide ribosomal RNA is filed under the name Colletotrichum gloeosporioides. RNAcentral describes it as "LSU rRNA". It matches the Rfam family "Eukaryotic large subunit ribosomal RNA", at positions 65 to 937 of the family's 3401-position model. Lineage: Eukaryota; Fungi; Ascomycota; Sordariomycetes; Glomerellales; Glomerellaceae. The record is from RNAcentral.